CCUGGCUGUAAGGGAGUUCAGACAUAUCAUCGAUUUAAUAUAAGCAUGAGUGAUGGCGUAUGGGGGGCGUAAAACGGCCCAUGCGCUUUUCAAAAGCGGAUUUUUCUAACUGACCUCGGUGUUCUGGACAAGCGACUCGGCGGUGAGAUUAAUAGUGGCAGUUGGUGCUCGGCUGGCUUUCCUCCGCUGGGUCCCCAGAGCUUGACGACACGUCACACGGAAUCAGAAAAUGGAGCAGGUGCAUUGCACAAGUCUAGCUGCAGCCCUCCCCAUCGGCCCCCACCUCCAGCCUCACCUCAAGUUACAGAUAAGUGAGACUCAAGCAUAUGGGCCGUCCAUCACUGUUCCGGGCACUUCCUGUGGUCAUUCUGACACGUGUCUUACCAGUCCUCAGUUUCAUUCCCCCUCACAGCCAUGGGAGGGACCAGACACCAAAUGUCCUAGACGCUUGUCCUCGCUCAAAGGAGUCAAGUUGCCCAAAUGCUGUCUGAGAAAGAUGUGGAAUGAGAAAAAUAUGAUUUCUACUUAAAAAAUUGCUGUAAUAAAAAAAAAAAAAAAAAAACAUUAUUCUUCACUUGUGUACUAAUAGAGGCCAACUAUAGUAACCUUAUAAGUACUUUACAGAGUGCAGCUAAUGGAAGGCAGUUUCAAGGAAAAAAAAUCACACUGAAGCAAGAAAGGCUUUUAUUCAUUUGAGAAGUGGCAUUACCUUAAAGUUAAACAUACUUUCAAAAGUUUAACAUACAGUACAAAAUUUGUUAUCCUAUAUUAAAUAUUAGUUGGAGUUUGAUAUACCUUUUUACAAGUAGACAUCCGCAAAAAAAUAAUUACGUGUUAAAUAUUUCAAUUGUUAUGGUGGUUUCUUUUUGGUUCUGUGAAAACAGUUGAAAUAAAUUAAGAAAUGACCAAGGGAGCAUUAUUUGUGCAGAGAUUUUGCUUUCCCUGCAUGGAGUCAUUUUGAGGUAAUUUUGCCAAAAAGGUAGUUUCCACUUUUUUUCUUUUGGAGACAUCGCCAGAGAACAAACAAAUCACUUUAAAUGUAAUUUGUCCGCUUUUUAAUUGGAAAAAACCUAUGAUUAUCAUUUGAUGUCAGUUUUUCAAUCACUUCUAGAUAUUUGGAAUGUCUUGAGUGUGGAGUCUGUUCUUUAUCCCGGUUAUUUCGGCAUUAGUUAUUCAGCCAUGCUGCGGAGAGGCGGUCUUCAGGCUGAAGUGCUCGCAGUCCCCGAGAGAAUGAAGUUUUGUGGGCUCACAGCUCCACUAAAGCCUGGCUUUCGUCCACUUUCACUGGAGCCCAGGGAGGACUCGGUCCGACCCCGCAACCCUCAGCCCCACAGCUAAUAAAACGACACCCCCUGGCCAAACAGCAAAAACAGACAAGGUGAGUGGCACCGGCACCCAGCUCUAGCUUAACCACUGUGGUUCUGCCCCCUUUCCUCUCUCGCACCAAUCCCUCAUUCUGUGAAAAAUAUUAAAUGAUGGGCCUGACUGGCUUAUUACAGUGGUUAAAGUUUUAAAUUUUAGAGGAGCUUGUUGGUUCACAACUAAGUGGAAUCAUGGGCAAAUUAGACUGAUUAUCUGUAGGUUUUUACUUUAUUCAUUUUACAUAAUUGAAAUUGAAGCUCCUGUUGCACCAUUCAUUCAUAUUUUACUCAUCACUUUUUUGUCAUGUAUAUUUUUGAGAAAGUAGCAAUUUGGGCCCAACAGUGAAAUGGGUAAGAAAAUAGUCAGAAAGAGGCAAAAAAAAACAAACCUCAAAAUCUUCAGUGAGCGACUUCAGGGCCGAACCUUUUGCUUGAUAUCUCACCCACUGAUCCAUAGCUUCCCUGGUAGCCUCUUCAGCUGAGUCUGCUGCUUCUCAUAUGGUGCAGCCAACUAUACUUGCUCUUUGCCCUGAUCAGAUCCACAGAGGACUUUGCCAAGUGUUACAAACAGGUUGUGCUAAGGCUACAGUAUUGGCUCCAAGAACCUGAACCACAGGCCUUGUUGCAUUGUGGGAGGAGACCUAAGCAAGGUGGGACUUACAAACACCGUACAUGCAAAGAUGGGCCUGGAAUCAGGUCCAUGGCAGUGCCGCUUUCAGAAUCAUCAUGGUCCCCCGGGGUGCUGUGACUUACCCUGUUUCAUACUUCCCCAUCAGCUUGGUCUCUUUGCCAGCAUAGAGGAUAGAUGAUCUCUGAACUCUGGUUUCAGUCUCCUGCUUCUGCAUUUUUUUUCAAUUGUACAGUACACAUUUUUUAUUUUCCCAGGCUGUAGAUUCACGUCUGCCCAUCAGUUUUUGGAGAAAGCUUGUUGUUGUCCUUUGAUGAACGUCGGCAUCAUAAUAUUUUCAUGCUAAUGUCACGGACUAGAUGAGCAUAGGAAAACAAGUCUGUGUUUAUCAUAAACAGCAUUUGUGACUGAUUUACUGUAAUGCUAGAGACGUAGGCUCAAUAGUAGGCCAAUGACACAACGCUAAACUUUAUAAUAAUCCUCCUUGAUCUAUAAAUACAAAUACCAUGGUAUAGGCCAGAGUUCUGGACAUUUUUUAUGGUGCCUCUUUAAAGAGCCUCAGUUUCAUUCAAAGUGCAGGACAGAUGUUCCCGAUUACCUCACCGUGUUGUUAAGAGCCCCCCAGAGAA
Long non-coding RNA from Brienomyrus brachyistius, 2618 nucleotides. RefSeq lists it as uncharacterized. The transcript is spliced from 3 exons. NCBI's taxonomy places the organism in Eukaryota, Metazoa, Chordata, Actinopteri, Osteoglossiformes, Mormyridae. The record is from RefSeq and is a predicted model, not a curated record.